This 253-nucleotide ribosomal RNA is filed under the name uncultured bacterium. RNAcentral describes it as "partial 16S ribosomal RNA". It matches the Rfam family "Bacterial small subunit ribosomal RNA", at positions 524 to 776 of the family's 1533-position model. The record is from RNAcentral.
UACGUAGGGCGCAAGCGUUAUCCGGAAUUAUUGGGCGUAAAGAGCUCGUAGGCGGUUUGUCGCGUCUGCUGUGAAAGACCGGGGCUCAACUCCGGUUCUGCAGUGGGUACGGGCAGACUAGAGUGCAGUAGGGGAGACUGGAAUUCCUGGUGUAGCGGUGAAAUGCGCAGGUAUCAGGAGGAACACCGGUGGCGAAGGCGGAUCUCUGGGCCGUAACUGACGCUGAGGAGCGAAAGCAUGGGGAGCGAACAGG